AUCUGGAGCCGGCGGGACCCGGCGACUACCCUGCACCGGCACGGCGCCAAUGGAGCCCGAGGCGGCGGCGCUGUCGCAGCUGCAGCUGCAGCUCCUCGCCCUCGUCUCCGAGUUCCGCCUUCUCCGCGUUAGCCAACCGUGAACCGCCCACCCCGCCUUGCCUUCUAGACUCUUCCAGACCCACGCACUAACAACCGCCCCCCAUUUUCCGUUCGCAGGAGCGGGAGCGCGGCGCCCGCGAGGAGCUCCGCGACGCCGGCCAGCGCAGAGGUGGGAAGCGGCGGCGGAGGAGCACCGUAGGGAGGCCCGGGAGCUGCGAGCCGAGGUGGCCGCGCGGGACGACUCGAUACGGAGGCUCGAGGCCAGGUUUUAGGUUGCGUUGUUGUUGGAGACCUGUUCCUCGUUAGGUUAUGCUGCCCAUUUUGUCUGUAUCUCUGGUGGGUCCUUCCAAUGAUAUGUGUUCCUCGUUAGGUCAUGAUUCUGGACAGUAUCCAUCAUAUGUGUGCCAUUGCUUACAAAUAAAGUGCCUUGAGAAUGAGAAUGAGCUGCUGGAGAAAAACGAAAACAACUUGAAAGAAAGCAUGGAGGUGCUGCUUCAAUCAAGGGAGGCUUUCAUAAAACACUAUGAGGACUCUACUUGUUCUAUGCAAUGGACAAUCCAGAUGAAGGACAAACAGAUUGCUGUAAUUUCGGAGAAAUUGAAUUCACAUCUUGUUUUAUUUAGUUCGGUAGAAAAGGAAGUUGCUGCUGUGAAACAAAUACUAGGUGAUGUGCAUUGUCUGGUUGGUGAGAAGGAAAAUUUAGUUGCUGACUUGAAGGAUAAAGUCCAAAGGAUUUCUGUGCUUGAGAAAGAUUUUGUAGAGAAACUUAAUUUCUUGGAAAGCAAAAUCAGUGCAUACCAGCUUGAACUCUGUAGUAGGGCAAGGAUCAUAUAUGAGUUAAAAAAUCACCUUGAGGCUGAGAAGCUUAACAACAGUUUUCAGCCCCAUCUGGAAGAACUUAAGAAAACUUUGUUGGUGAAGGAUGAGAUUAUUGAGAGAUUAACUUCAGAGAAUCAGGCAAUGCGUUUGGAAGUUCAUAAUAUGGAAAUUGCUUUACAGAAAUUUCAAGAUUUAUUCAGUAGUAUAGGGCAUGCGGGAAUGAAGAGUUUUUCAGCAAUUUCUGAAAGUCAGGAUGUGAAUAAUGAGCAGCUUGAAAGCAUUCCAGGUACACAAUGUGGUUUAGCAAAUGAGCAUACCUCGGUAACUGCAGUUGUCAAAGAAGCCACCACACAAAAUGUUGACCACCAGUUGGAAACUGAUCCAAGCAGCAUGCAAGUAGAAAGCCCAGUGCACUUCAAGUCUGGUGCCUUGCCAUCUCCGGAGCUAGUAGCUGCGAAUACAGAAACAGCUGGCAGCCUUCUUGAACCCAAAGGAGACAUUGAUAUGGCUUUAGCCAUAUUGCUGGUGGCCCACUCAAUUAGUGGUGCUGGUUCACUGGGACACGGGGAGCAGGGAGGUGCAUGGUGGACUGCUGCUUAGCUAGGGCAUGGCUAGCAGUGUCCACUCAUGUUACUGCUGCUGGACACUGACAAACAGGAGCUGAAAGAGUAGCAAUGUCGAUUUCUCUAUUGGCUAUGGCUUAGGGUGGUUUAUCUCCUGCACGACCAACAGAUUGUUUGAAUCUGGAUCCUGACACGGAGAAUCAGUCCUAACCAUGCAAUUUGUAUCCCUUCACACCUGGAAUUUGGAUAUGGAUAGUUACUGAUUCCGUGGCUGGUUGUCGAGCAUAUUUUCUUCUCCCUAGUUGAUCACCCCCCCCCCUCCCCCCCUGUUCCCCUGUUUGCAUAGGUCCAUUUAGUUAGCCGCUAAAGAGAGAGAUCAGGUAGUGUAAGGUGUAUUUGGUUUUCGGUUUUUGUUCUGUUAACGUGGGGUGUCUUGAGAAGUGUGCAGCUAUGUAAAAGGUCUUGUAGUGUACUGCCUACCGAGUUAUCCGACACUGCUUUAUCUUUGAUUUGGCAAAGAAGUAUGGUUAUUAAGAGCAAUGGAAAUGUAGUGUGAGUACUCAUCUGGUUACA
RNA transcript from Sorghum bicolor (sorghum), 2056 nucleotides. It is a transcript of the gene named coiled-coil domain-containing protein 57, with no coding region annotated. The record is from RefSeq and is a predicted model, not a curated record. NCBI's taxonomy places the organism in Eukaryota, Viridiplantae, Streptophyta, Magnoliopsida, Poales, Poaceae. The transcript is spliced from 15 exons.